This 465-nucleotide ribosomal RNA is filed under the name Vreelandella stevensii. RNAcentral describes it as "partial 16S ribosomal RNA". It matches the Rfam family "Bacterial small subunit ribosomal RNA", at positions 338 to 795 of the family's 1533-position model. Lineage: Bacteria; Pseudomonadati; Pseudomonadota; Gammaproteobacteria; Oceanospirillales; Halomonadaceae. The record is from RNAcentral.
CCUACGGGUGGCAGCAGUGGGGAAUAAUGGACAAUGGGGGCAACCCUGAUCCAGCCAUGCCGCGUGUGUGAAGAAGGCCCUCGGGUUGUAAAGCACUUUCAGUGAGGAAGAACGCCUGGUGGUUAAUACCCAUCAGGAAAGACAUCACUCACAGAAGAAGCACCGGCUAACUCCGUGCCAGCAGCCGCGGUAAUACGGAGGGUGCGAGCGUUAAUCGGAAUUACUGGGCGUAAAGCGCGCGUAGGUGGCUUGAUAAGCCGGUUGUGAAAGCCCCGGGCUCAACCUGGGAACGGCAUCCGGAACUGUCAAGCUAGAGUGCAGGAGAGGAAGGUAGAAUUCCCGGUGUAGCGGUGAAAUGCGUAGAGAUCGGGAGGAAUACCAGUGGCGAAGGCGGCCUUCUGGACUGACACUGACACUGAGGUGCGAAAGCGUGGGUAGCAAACAGGAUUAGAUACCCUAGUAGUC